UAGUAGAAAUGCAUUGACUAG
This 21-nucleotide microRNA is filed under the name Populus trichocarpa (black cottonwood). RNAcentral's name for it is "ptc-miR6429". The record is from miRBase by way of RNAcentral. Lineage: Eukaryota; Viridiplantae; Streptophyta; Magnoliopsida; Malpighiales; Salicaceae.